AGCCACAGUCAAAUCACCCUGCAGCCCAAGUUCGGUUACUCACUGAAGCUAAGCAAGGAUGAGCCUGGUUAAUAUCUGGAUGGGAGAUCACAUGGGAAAACUAGGUUGCUGUUGGAA
This is a ribosomal RNA of Danio rerio (zebrafish), 117 nucleotides long. The record is from Ensembl. NCBI's taxonomy places the organism in Eukaryota, Metazoa, Chordata, Actinopteri, Cypriniformes, Danionidae.